This 536-nucleotide ribosomal RNA is filed under the name uncultured bacterium. RNAcentral describes it as "partial 16S ribosomal RNA". It matches the Rfam family "Bacterial small subunit ribosomal RNA", at positions 355 to 873 of the family's 1533-position model. The record is from RNAcentral.
UGGGGAAUAUUGCACAAUGGGCGCAAGCCUGAUGCAGCCAUGCCGCGUGUGUGAAGAAGGCCUUCGGGUUGUAAAGCACUUUCAGCGAGGAGGAAGGUGGUGAGCUUAAUACGCUCAUCAAUUGACGUUACUCGCAGAAGAAGCACCGGCUAACUCCGUGCCAGCAGCCGCGGUAAUACGGAGGGUGCAAGCGUUAAUCGGAAUUACUGGGCGUAAAGCGCACGCAGGCGGUUUGUUAAGUCAGAUGUGAAAUCCCCCGGGCUCAACCUGGGAACUGCAUUUGAAACUGGCAAGCUAGAGUCUCGUAGAGGGGGGUAGAAUUCCAGGUGUAGCGGUGAAAUGCGUAGAGAUCUGGAGGAAUACCGGUGGCGAAGGCGGCCCCCCUGGACGAAGGACUGACCGCUCAGGGUGCGAAAAGGCGUGGGGGCAGCAAAACAGGAUUAGAUACCCUGGUAGUCCACGCUGUAAACGAUGUCGAUUUGGAGGUUGUGCCCUUGAGGCGUGGCUUCCGGAGCUAACGCGUUAAAUCGACCGCC